This 253-nucleotide ribosomal RNA is filed under the name uncultured bacterium. Its description in RNAcentral is "partial 16S ribosomal RNA". It matches the Rfam family "Bacterial small subunit ribosomal RNA", at positions 524 to 776 of the family's 1533-position model. The record is from RNAcentral.
UACGUAGGGCGCAAGCGUUGUCCGGAAUUAUUGGGCGUAAAGAGCUCGUAGGCGGCUUGUCACGUCGGAUGUGAAAGCCCGGGGCUUAACCCCGGGUCUGCAUUCGAUACGGGCUAGCUAGAGUGUGGUAGGGGAGAUCGGAAUUCCUGGUGUAGCGGUGAAAUGCGCAGAUAUCAGGAGGAACACCGGUGGCGAAGGCGGAUCUCUGGGCCAUUACUGACGCUGAGGCGCGAAAGCGUGGGGAGCGAACAGG